UGCGCGCGUUUGUGAAGUUAAAUUUGAAAAUAGCCUAGUGAAACAAACAUAAAUCAGAUCAAUCCUUUAAAAAGUAUAAGUCAUUAGCAAUAAAUCCUGACGUCUACAAAUGAAACCUGACAGACCACCUGAGGGUGAUGGAUUUAUCGAUCGGAAACUUUUGAACCAAGCGUGUUUGAAACAUCAUAUUAGCAUAGGUACAGUUUGAUCCGCUAAACAGAUGCGUCCUUUGUGGAAAGAAACACAUAAACGGUGUGCUAGAUCCUGGUCGCCACAACAAACUGCAUAAUUUGCAGCUGUGUGCAUUUCUGCGGUCCUCGAUGCGCGUGAACUGACAGAGACCCUUGAAAUCAUCAGCGAAGCCCCAUAUUGUGUCACACUGAGAAGCGUCAGAAAAAAAACCUCUAUGACACAGGAGAAGUUCCUGAUUUUAACAUUUCUGAAGGGAGCUGCUGACAGAGAAAUAGAAAACACAGAUUCUUCCAUGCUGAGGGCCGUGCACAAGAGUUGGAGCGUAUCUCCUGUCGAAGAACAUCUCUAGACAUUAUGAACCAUCUGUCUAGAAAGUAAUACCUCAAAUAUACACUACCUAAAGUUUAAGGGUCAGAUUUGUCAUGUAUUAGUAUUUUUUGC
Molecule: long non-coding RNA, 633 nt
Organism: Onychostoma macrolepis
Lineage: Eukaryota; Metazoa; Chordata; Actinopteri; Cypriniformes; Cyprinidae
Exons: 3
Source: RefSeq, a predicted model, not a curated record